This 849-nucleotide ribosomal RNA is filed under the name Ripalania queenslandica. Its description in RNAcentral is "partial large subunit ribosomal RNA". It matches the Rfam family "Bacterial large subunit ribosomal RNA", at positions 1412 to 2564 of the family's 2925-position model. Lineage: Eukaryota; Metazoa; Mollusca; Gastropoda; Thiaridae. The record is from RNAcentral.
UACACAAUGAAUUGUAAAAUUUAAAGUGAUAUGAAAUCGUAGCCACUAUUAACUUACGUUCCAUUGGACUUUUUUGAGGAUAAGCUCGAAAAUUGUUGUUGAGAAUUGUAUGAUUUAAAAUUGUUAUGUAGGCCUAAAAUUAGCCACCAUGAGAGUUUGUUAUAAAAUAAUAGAGAUAUAUAAAAACAUUAUUAUACAUAAUACCACAUAAGACCAUAAGAAUAAUAAUUUAAACCCAAAGAUUAAUAUACAUAUGCUAGGAUGAGUAUUAAAAUUAUUGAAAUCGAAAAAUAGAAAUAUUUCCUAAAGUAAUGUUUUUAAUAUAAAUUAAAGAGAAGGAAUUCGGCAAAUGUUGUUCCGCCUGUUUAUCAAAAACAUGGCUCUUUGAUAAAAGCAUAUAAAGAGUCGAACCUGCCCAGUGAAUAAUUUUAACGGCCGCGGUACCCUGACCGUGCAAAGGUAGCAUAAUCAUUUGCCUUAUAAUUGAAGGCUGGCAUGAAUGGUCUGACGAGAGCAACACUGUCUCCUCUUUAUUAUCUAAAAAUUAACCUAUGGGUGAAGAGGCCUAUAUUAGAUUGAAGGACAAGAAGACCCUGUCGAGCUUAAAAGAAAAGUAGAAGUUAGCUAUCAAAAGAAAUCAAUAAACUACAUAGCUUUUUAGUUGGGGCGACUAAGGAACAAAUAAAGCUUCUUUUAUUUUUAUAAAUUUACAGAUUUGGAUCCAGCAAAGCUGAUUAAAGGAAUUAGUUACCGCAGGGAUAACAGCAUAAUCUCCCUUGAGAGACCUAAUCGAAAGGGGGGGUUGUGACCUCGAUGUUGGACUAGAAUAUCCUGAAGAUGCAGACGUCU